CGUGCCCGCACUCGAGCCGGCGCCGGCGGGCGUAUUUCCCCUCGUGAUGUAGGUCGCCGCGACCCGUUGCUGGGGACGUCGAAGGCCCGGGCGGACUGGUACCCCGACGUUGUGCGCCUCGUUGUGCCUUCGAAGGGGGAAACCUCCGGUGUCCUGGCUGCCCUGCGACGGUCGUGUAGCAGAGGGCGGCGCAAGCUUCCCUCUCGCGGCGUGCAAAAGGUCGGUGACCCACCCGACCCGUCUUGAAACACGGACCAAGGAGUCUAACAUGUGUGCGAGUCAUUGGGCGCACUAAACCCAAAGGCGCAAUGAAAGUGAAAGGCGCGUGUCUCACGUGCUGGGGCCGAUCCCCGACCGGGCGAUGCCGCCGUGUCGUGCCAUACCAAAGCGGGGCCCUUAGGCGUCGAGCGGAGUGAGUCCCUUUCCUCCGUUCGCCGUCGGUCCCGUGGGCGGCGCGGUGCGCUCGCUGGUCCGAGCUUGCUCGCCUGUACGCAGGGGGGCGCAGGCCCGGGACUUGUCAUUCGACGCUGUCGCGCGAAUCUGUUGUUGACCUCAUCGGCUUUGCUUGGGCUCUCGGCUGGCGUGCCGCGUGUCUGGGCGGGCUUUGGGCGGGGGCCUCUCUCGGGGGGUUUCUUCUCGGGCUCGUCCGGCGCGGUUGCGCCUUCCGAUCCUGCUCUGUCCGGAGUGGCCUAGCGCGCGUGCUGUCGGCAAGUACCAUGAGCAGACAUGUUGGGACCCGAAAGAUGGUGAACUAUGCCUGGCCAGGAUGAAGCCAGAGGAAACUCUGGUGGAGGUCCGUAGCAAUUCUGACGUGCA
RNAcentral lists this ribosomal RNA (816 nucleotides) under Portunus sanguinolentus hawaiiensis. Its description in RNAcentral is "eukaryotic LSU rRNA". The stretch from base 254 to 816 matches the Rfam family "Eukaryotic large subunit ribosomal RNA", at positions 665 to 895 of the family's 3401-position model. Lineage: Eukaryota; Metazoa; Arthropoda; Malacostraca; Decapoda; Portunidae. The record is from RNAcentral.